CCGGGGAUGGUGAUGGACAGGGAGGUCUGGCGUGCUGCGAUUCAUGGGGUCUCAAAGAGUCGGACACGACUGAGUGACUGAACUGAACUGAACUAUGCUUUCACUUAGGCUUUCUUCUUCUGGGAUAUCAUAAUCCAUGUAAUCAAUCUUCUUUGUCUUCAAUAUUUGUCAUUUCUUCGUGAAUCCCUUUCAACUCCUACUUUGUUGACUUUUUAAUUUUCCUCUUUUCACCUUCUGUUUCUUUUAAGGAACAUGUAUUGGGUUUCUUCACUCUUGUGCUCCUUUUAGUUUCUUUUUCCCUUUUGAAAUGAUUUUUUUUUAUUUUUUACUGUUUGCUGAGUUCUGUCACCUCAUUUCUGAGUUUUUCUAAUUGUGAAAUAUUUUGUUCUUUCACGUCUCGUAACGUUCUUUUAAUUAUCUGUGAGUGGUUUUGUAAUAGUAGAUCACUGUUCUGAUCUGACUUGUAGACAUGUCUUUCAGCAUAGGGAUGUUAUUCUACUUCUUACUAUCUUUUUCUUAUACCAAGUUUGUAUGGGAUUUGAAUUUGAUACUUUCUUUUAAUAUGAAAAUGGUUUUCCUGGGCAGCUAGAGUAAGCAAGGCACAGGACACCUUCUCCAAUAUUAGAGUUUCCUCUUGAGUUGUUUCUAUGUGAUGCUUAAAAACAUGGUGGCUUAUCUUCUGAACUCUUUUUGUUUCUGUUACCACACACAACUUCAGUCUGUACCUUCUCUCUCUCUUUAGUCUCUAUUGUCUCUAUCUUGGUCAACUUUGAUUAUAUUCCCAGAAGUUUCUCCUCAGUGUGGAUCCCUGACCAUUUGGAAGGUUCAUGGGGCUGGGUUUCUCCACACCGUCAGUCCAUCUUCCUUCAAGGCCCUUGCUAGUGGAGAGAGCAAAGCCUCUGCAAGUGUCAGCCGCUCUUCUCUAAGUAGCCCAUGUUGCUUUCCAGUGAACGCCUGUCGGUUACUUUACGGGUCUCCUCUUCCCUGUUGCUUCCCUCUUCCUCCUACACAGAUGCUGUUUGUGUUUUGUGGCUCAUGGUGGGUUAGCCCCAUCCACCUAUAGUUCAGGGUCUGUAGGAAAACUUCUCCAUUCCAUAAAUGGAAUCCAUGAACUUUGGGUUCUGCUAUCUGGUUUCUCGGACUGCUUUUAUGUGAAAAAUAAAAGAGACUGAAAAACCAUGCUGCUGUCAUCACCCUCUCUCCAGAAUUCUCCAUCUGAAAUUUUUGUAUUAAGGUAGAAGUCCAGCUUCCA
Long non-coding RNA from Bos taurus (domestic cattle), 1252 nucleotides. The record is from Ensembl. NCBI's taxonomy places the organism in Eukaryota, Metazoa, Chordata, Mammalia, Artiodactyla, Bovidae.